Molecule: ribosomal RNA, 305 nt
Filed under: uncultured bacterium
Lineage: Bacteria
Description: bacterial SSU rRNA
Rfam family: Bacterial small subunit ribosomal RNA
Source: RNAcentral
CUGGCCUACGGGGCGCAGCAGUGGGGGAUAUUGCACAAUGGGGGAAACCCUGAUGCAGCGACGCCGCGUGAGUGAAGAAGUAUUUCGGUACGUAAAGCUCUAUCAGCAGGGAAGAAUAUGACGGAACCUGACUAAGAAGCCCCGGCUAACUACGUGCCAGCAGCCGCGGUAAUACGUAGGGGGCAAGCGUUAUCCGGAUUUACUGGGCGUAAAGGGAGCGUAGACGGCAGCGCAAGUCUGGAGUGAAAUCCCAUGGCUUACCCAUGGAACUGCUUGGGAAACUGUGCAGCUGGAGUGCAGGAGAG